Long non-coding RNA from Melanaphis sacchari, 806 nucleotides. RefSeq lists it as uncharacterized. The record is from RefSeq and is a predicted model, not a curated record. The transcript is spliced from 3 exons. NCBI's taxonomy places the organism in Eukaryota, Metazoa, Arthropoda, Insecta, Hemiptera, Aphididae.
UCUGCGAUUUAUACGCGAGCGCUCGACAUAAUUCUCUGCAGUGGCGCCCCGGCCAACUCUCUUUAAGACACCGCACGUUAUUAUUAUCACAUAAUAUAAUAUUAUGUUACUGCGGCAUUCAGCUGGACGCAGGUGCGCGACGUGAUGAAUGCCCCGAAAUGGAUCACCGACACGGCGUAUCCCGCGGGGCCCAAAGAAAAGGGGCAAAGGGGUCUUUUUGUUCUUUGCACUCCGCUGUUUCCGUUCGCACGCCGUCGGUUUGGUAAACAGCGAUAUUCUUAACGUGAAGUAUGGAGACGAAUGAGGAUCCAAGGCCUUCGCCUCUCGCUUCGGGUUUUCAACCGUUAAGACUGAAACGUAAUAGGUACAUGGAGAAAGAGCGAGUGGUCGGCGACUACACCAACAGCAGCAGCAGCCGGUCGACGAACAGAACGGCGGCGGCGAUGUCGGCUCACAUCAAACAAAAUUUAGAUCUUCCGCUAACCCCGCGGACGUACAGGCUAAUAGAGGACCCCCCGGACCCCACAACACGCCCCCGCCCGGUGAACACACGCUGUCCGUCGUCUCAUUACGCGUACAUACAUGCGUACAUGCAAUACACAACUGACACAUGAAAACCGAGGAAAAUGCAUCAGACACCAACGAAUAUGAAUAAAAUUUACGUUUAUGUAUAUCAUGGUGUAUGGAAUAUUGUAUUUACCGAUAGGCUUGAAUGUAGAGGGAUUAUUUAGGGCUUGGCUAAUCUAACUUGAGCUUCAGUCUCUCCUCAUUCUCUUCAAAUUUUAAAUAUUAUGUGCGUUUAUACA